UGGGGAAUUUUGGACAAUGGGCGAAAGCCUGAUCCAGCAAUGCCGCGUGUGUGAAGAAGGCCUUCGGGUUGUAAAGCACUUUUGUCCGGAAAGAAAUGGCUCUGGUUAAUACCUGGGGUCGAUGACGGUACCGGAAGAAUAAGGACCGGCUAACUACGUGCCAGCAGCCGCGGUAAUACGUAGGGUCCAAGCGUUAAUCGGAAUUACUGGGCGUAAAGCGUGCGCAGGCGGUUGUGCAAGACCGAUGUGAAAUCCCCGAGCUUAACUUGGGAAUUGCAGUGGUGACUGCACGGCUAGAGUGUGUCAGAGGGGGGUAGAAUUCCACGUGUAGCAGUGAAAUGCGUAGAGAUGUGGAGGAAUACCGAUGGCGGAGGCAGCCCCCUGGGAUAACACUGACGCUCAUGCACGAAAGCGUGGGGAGCAAACAGG
This 429-nucleotide ribosomal RNA is filed under the name Bacillota bacterium. RNAcentral describes it as "Firmicutes bacterium partial 16S ribosomal RNA". It matches the Rfam family "Bacterial small subunit ribosomal RNA", at positions 355 to 776 of the family's 1533-position model. Lineage: Bacteria; Bacillati; Bacillota. The record is from RNAcentral.